CUACAGAGGGUGCAAGCGUUAAUCGGAAUUACUGGGCGUAAAGCGCGCGUAGGCGGUUUGAUAAGUCGGAUGUGAAAUCCCUGGGCUCAACCUGGGAACUGCAUUCGAAACUGUCUGACUAGAGUAUGGUAGAGGGUGGUGGAAUUCCUAGUGUAGCGGUGAAAUGCGUAGAUAUUAGGAGGAACAUCAGUGGCGAAGGCGACCACCUGGACCAAUACUGACGCUGAGGUGCGAAAGCGUGGGGAGCAAACAGGAUUAGAUACCCGUGUAGUCC
Molecule: ribosomal RNA, 274 nt
Filed under: uncultured bacterium
Lineage: Bacteria
Description: partial 16S ribosomal RNA
Rfam family: Bacterial small subunit ribosomal RNA
Source: RNAcentral